GACGAACGCUGGCGGCGUGCUUAACACAUGCAAGUCGAGCGGUAAGGCCCUUUCGGGGGUACGACGAGCGGCGAACGGGUGAGUAACACGUGGGUGACCUGCCCUCCAGCUCUGGGAGUAAGCCUGGGAAACCGGGGUCUAAUACUGGAUAUGACUCCAUGACGCAUGUUGUGGGGUGGAAAGCCUUGUGCGGCUGAGGAUGGGCCCGCGGCCUAUCAGCUUGUUGGUGGGGUGAUGGCCUACCAAGGCGACGACGGGUAGCCGGCCUGAGAGGGCGACCGGCCACACUGGGACUGAGACACGGCCCAGACUCCUACGGGAGGGCAGCAGUGGGGAAUCUUGCGCAAUGGGCGAAAGCCUGACGCAGCGACGCCGCGUGAGGGAUGACGGCCUGGUUGUAAC
Molecule: ribosomal RNA, 402 nt
Filed under: uncultured bacterium
Lineage: Bacteria
Description: bacterial SSU rRNA
Rfam family: Bacterial small subunit ribosomal RNA
Source: RNAcentral